UUACGUGGGACGUAAAGCGCAUGCAGGGUUGGUUUAGUUAAGUCGAGAUGUAGAAACGGCCCGGGGCUACCAACCGUACGGUAAUUGCUAUUUAGAAACGUGGACAAACUAGAGUACUGUAGAGGGGGUAGAAUUUCAGGUGUAGCGGUGAAAUGCGUAGAGAUCUGAAGGAAUACCGGUGGCGAAGGCGGCCCCCUGGACAGAUACUGACACUCAGAUGCGAAAGCGUGGGGAGCAAACAGGAUUAGAUACCCUGGUAG
Molecule: ribosomal RNA, 260 nt
Filed under: uncultured bacterium
Lineage: Bacteria
Description: partial 16S ribosomal RNA
Rfam family: Bacterial small subunit ribosomal RNA
Source: RNAcentral